This 468-nucleotide ribosomal RNA is filed under the name uncultured bacterium. RNAcentral's name for it is "partial 16S ribosomal RNA". It matches the Rfam family "Bacterial small subunit ribosomal RNA", at positions 28 to 507 of the family's 1533-position model. The record is from RNAcentral.
GACGAACGCUGGCGGCGUGCUUAACACAUGCAAGUCGAACGGAAAGGCCCUGCUUUUGUGGGGUGCUCGAGUGGCGAACGGGUGAGUAACACGUGAGUAACCUGCCCUUGACUUUGGGAUAACUUCAGGAAACUGGGGCUAAUACCGGAUAGGAGCUCCUGCUGCAUGGUGGGGGUUGGAAAGUUUCGGCGGUUGGGGAUGGACUCGCGGCUUAUCAGCUUGGUGGUGGGGUAGUGGCUUACCAAGGCUUUGACGGGUAGCCGGCCUGAGAGGGUGACCGGCCACAUUGGGACUGAGAUACGGCCCAGACUCCUACGGGAGGCAGCAGUGGUGAAUAUUGCACAAUGGGCGGAAGCCUGAUGCAGCAACGCCGCGUGCGGGAUGACGGCCUUCGGGUUGUAAACCGCUUUCGCCUGUGACGAAGCGUGAGUGACGGUAAUGGGUAAAGAAGCACCGGCUAACUACGUG